Molecule: transfer RNA, 69 nt
Filed under: Priasilpha obscura
Lineage: Eukaryota; Metazoa; Arthropoda; Insecta; Coleoptera; Phloeostichidae
Description: tRNA-Met
Rfam family: tRNA
About the family: Transfer RNA (tRNA) molecules are approximately 80 nucleotides in length. Their secondary structure includes four short double-helical elements and three loops (D, anti-codon, and T loops).
Source: RNAcentral
AAAAAAGUAAGCUAAUCAAGCUCCUGGGUUCAUACCCCAUCAAUAAAGGUUUUAAUCCUUUCUUUUUUA